RNAcentral lists this ribosomal RNA (232 nucleotides) under Francisella tularensis subsp. holarctica. RNAcentral describes it as "partial 16S ribosomal RNA". It matches the Rfam family "Bacterial small subunit ribosomal RNA", at positions 1117 to 1350 of the family's 1533-position model. The record is from RNAcentral. Lineage: Bacteria; Pseudomonadati; Pseudomonadota; Gammaproteobacteria; Thiotrichales; Francisellaceae.
ACCAUCAUUAAGUUGGGUACUCUAUUAAGACUGCCGCUGACAAGGCGGAGGAAGGUGGGGACGACUUCAAGUCAUCAUGGCCCUUACGACCAGGGCUACACACGUGCUACAAUGGGUAUUACAGAUGGCUGCGAAGGUGCGAGCUGGAGCGAAACUCAAAAAGGUAAUCUUAGUCCGGAUUGCAGUCUGCAACUCGACUGCAUGAAGUCGGAAUCGCUAGUAAUCGCAGGUC